This 442-nucleotide long non-coding RNA is filed under the name Oreochromis niloticus (Nile tilapia). RNAcentral describes it as "lncRNA (ENSONIG00000031922.1)". Lineage: Eukaryota; Metazoa; Chordata; Actinopteri; Cichliformes; Cichlidae. The record is from RNAcentral.
AUUGUAAGAGCAGGACUGCUAAAAGAAAGGCCAGUCCUGAAAAGAAGACCCCAAUAAAAAGGAGGAGGGUCGCUGAGCAGCUGGUCCUUCCACCAGCUCAGAUGUGGUCAAAGGAGUGAAGCGCAAGGUUGUGCAAGAUGAAGAGGGCACAACAAAGAAAGCAAAGAAGGCUAAACUUCUCGACCAUAUGAGCGGUGACAAGGAGCAAGCAUCCUCCUUGUUGGACUCUGGUAAAGACUUGAAUAACAACAGGUGUGCGCAAAAAAUGGCAAAAGAAAGGCCGCGGAGACAACAGAGAGUCACCCAAGAAAAAAAAAAAGGAAUGUGGACCAGGACAAAAAAUCAGUGGCAGACCAAAAACGUGAAUUCCAAGCCAGAUAUGUGGAGGAGCACCAGCUCGGAGAAGGAGGCUGCGGAGCAGUGUUUGCUGGCUACCGGAUAG